UGCUGUGAUAAAAAUGCUUGCUGCAAC
This 27-nucleotide small RNA is filed under the name Bombyx mori (domestic silkworm). RNAcentral's name for it is "ovarian small RNA-34243". Lineage: Eukaryota; Metazoa; Arthropoda; Insecta; Lepidoptera; Bombycidae. The record is from RNAcentral.